RNAcentral lists this ribosomal RNA (333 nucleotides) under Triticum aestivum (bread wheat). RNAcentral's name for it is "partial small subunit ribosomal RNA". The record is from RNAcentral. Lineage: Eukaryota; Viridiplantae; Streptophyta; Magnoliopsida; Poales; Poaceae.
CUCAACCGUGGCGAGCGUCUGGUGCUUGUGCGGCAUGUCCUCACCGCAAUGCCCACCCACACCCUCAUGGCCAUGGCCGUUUCAGCACCAAUCUUGAAGAGGAUUACGCGCAUCAUCCGGGACUUCCUCUGGCAGGGCUGCAAAGACACGCGGGACGGCUGUUGUCUUGUGAGUUUGGCCAAGGUCUGUUGUCUCGUCGAGCUUGGUGGCCUAGGCGUGCGGGACUUACACCGUGCCGGCAUUGCACUGCGCACCAGGUGGAUGUGGCUACAUGCCACAGACCCCGAGCGCCCCUGGCACCACUUGCAUUUACCACAUGGCCCCGAGGUUUAG